UACGAAGGGUGCAAGCGUUACUCGGAAUUACUGGGCGUAAAGGGUGCGUAGGUGGUCGUUUAAGUCCGUUGUGAAAUCCCUGGGCUCAACCUGGGAAUGGCAGUGGAUACUGGACGGCUAGAAUGCGGUAGAGGGUAGUGGAAUUCCCGGUGUAGCAGUGAAAUGCGUAGAUAUCGGGAGGAACACCUAUGGCGAAAGCAGGCUUCUGGGCCAUCUCUGACGCUGAGCUGCGAAAGCUAGGGGAGCAAACAGG
RNAcentral lists this ribosomal RNA (253 nucleotides) under uncultured bacterium. RNAcentral describes it as "partial 16S ribosomal RNA". It matches the Rfam family "Bacterial small subunit ribosomal RNA", at positions 524 to 776 of the family's 1533-position model. The record is from RNAcentral.